This 317-nucleotide long non-coding RNA is filed under the name Aotus nancymaae (Ma's night monkey). RNAcentral's name for it is "lncRNA (ENSANAG00000039541.1)". Lineage: Eukaryota; Metazoa; Chordata; Mammalia; Primates; Aotidae. The record is from RNAcentral.
CUGCCCUGUGUCGGGUCAUGGUCUACAAGAUGGACCACUGUAACUGAGUGACAGCUGGGGAAGGAUGUCAUGGUGCAGCGAGAGGAGAAUAGGAGGGUUCAUUCAAAGGCUCACAACAGUGAUGUUGCACCAGGAUAUUGCAGUGAACCAUGAAGGCUGAUGGGGCAGAGGAGCUCCAACUAUAUCCUGAGAAAAGACAACAUUGUGGAAACACGUCCACACGCCUACCUGGAAGGAAGCAAUGGUCACUUAGUGUUGUCUUUGUUGCCGUCCUUCGUAGGAGUCACCACGUAUGUGUGCCCCAUGCUGUCCACGCC